AGUGAACGCUGGCGGUAGGCCUAACACAUGCAAGUCGAACGGCAGCACAGUAAGAGCUUGCUCUUACGGGUGGCGAGUGGCGGACGGGUGAGGAAUACAUCGGAAUCUACUUUUUCGUGGGGGAUAACGUAGGGAAACUUACGCUAAUACCGCAUACGACCUACGGGUGAAAGCAGGGGAUCUUCGGACCUUGCGCGAUUGAAUGAGCCGAUGUCGGAUUAGCUAGUUGGCGGGGUAAAGGCCCACCAAGGCGACGAUCCGUAGCUGGUCUGAGAGGAUGAUCGGCCACACUGGAACGGAGACACGGUCCAGACUCCUACGGGAGGCAGCAGUGGGGAAUAUUAGACAAUGGGCGCAAGCCUGAUCCAGCCAUACCGCGUGGGUGAAGAAGGCCUUCGGGUUGUAAAGCCCUUUUGUUGGGAAAGAAAAGCAGCAGGUUAAUACCCCGCUGUUCUGACGGUACCCAAAGAAUAAGCACCGGCUAACUUCGUG
Molecule: ribosomal RNA, 492 nt
Filed under: uncultured bacterium
Lineage: Bacteria
Description: partial 16S ribosomal RNA
Rfam family: Bacterial small subunit ribosomal RNA
Source: RNAcentral